Molecule: ribosomal RNA, 445 nt
Filed under: uncultured bacterium
Lineage: Bacteria
Description: bacterial SSU rRNA
Rfam family: Bacterial small subunit ribosomal RNA
Source: RNAcentral
CCAGACUCCUACGGGAGGCAGCAGUGGGGGAUAUUGCACAAUGGGGGGAACCCUGAUGCAGCGACGCCGCGUGGGUGAAGGAGUGCUUCGGCAUGUAAAGCCCUAUCGGCAGGGAAGAAGCAAGACGGUACCUGACUAAGAAGCAUCGGCUAACUCCGUGCCAGCAGCCGCGGUAAUACGGAGGAUGCGAGCGUUAUCCGGAUUUAUUGGGUUUAAAGGGUGCGUAGGCGGACUGUUAAGUCAGCGGUAAAAGCCGGGGCCUAAACCCGGGCGAGCCGUUGAAACUGGCUGUCUUGAGAUGUCGAGAGGUAUGCGGAAUGCGCAGUGUAGCGGUGAAAUGCUUAGAUAUUGCGCAGAACUCCGAUUGCGAAGGCAGCAUACCGGCGGCGAUCUGACGCUGAGGCACGAAAGCGUGGGUAUCGAACAGGAUUAGAUACCCUGGUAC